UUGCUUCUGCAGCAAAUAUAUUAUAACUGAAAUUAUACAGAGAAGAUUAGCAUGGCCCUUAUGCAAGGAUGACAUGCAAACUCAUUAAGCAUUCCAUAUUAAA
Vulpes vulpes (red fox) is the source of this 103-nucleotide small nuclear RNA. The record is from Ensembl. Lineage: Eukaryota; Metazoa; Chordata; Mammalia; Carnivora; Canidae.